RNAcentral lists this transfer RNA (82 nucleotides) under Planctomycetales bacterium. Its description in RNAcentral is "tRNA-Leu". It matches the Rfam family "tRNA". From Rfam's summary of the family: Transfer RNA (tRNA) molecules are approximately 80 nucleotides in length. Their secondary structure includes four short double-helical elements and three loops (D, anti-codon, and T loops). Lineage: Bacteria; Pseudomonadati; Planctomycetota; Planctomycetia; Planctomycetales. The record is from RNAcentral.
GGGGCUGUGGCGAAACUGGCAGACGCGCUAGAUUUAGGUUCUAGUACCGCAAGGUGUGAAGGUUCGACUCCUUUCAGCCCUA